Molecule: ribosomal RNA, 497 nt
Filed under: uncultured bacterium
Lineage: Bacteria
Description: partial 16S ribosomal RNA
Rfam family: Bacterial small subunit ribosomal RNA
Source: RNAcentral
GAUGAACGCUGGCGGCGUGCCUAAUACAUGCAAGUCGAGCGAACGGACGCUGCGCUUGCUUCUCUGGUGUUAGCGACGGACGGGUGAGUCACACGUGGAUAACCUACCUCUAAGACUGGGAUAACUUCGAGAAAGCGGAGCUCCUACCAGGUAAUAUUUUGAACCGCAUGGUUCAAAAGUUAAAGCCGGUCUUGCUGACCCUUCUAGCUGUCUCCGCGGUGGUUUAGCUAGUUGGUAAGGUAACGGCUUACGAAGGCAACGAUGCAUAGCCGACCUGAGAGGGUGAACGGCGACACUGGAAGUGAGACGCGGUCCAGAGUCCGAGGGGAGGCAGCAGUAGGGAAUCGUCGGCAAUGGGGGGAAGCCUGACGGAGCAACGCCGCGUGAGUGAUGAAGGUCUUCGGAGCGUAAAACUCUGUUAUUAGGGAAGAACAUUUGUGUAAGUAACUGUGCACAUCGUGACGGUACCUAAACAGAAAGCCACGGCUAACUACGUG